GGAGGCGUGUCCGAACUGGCUAAGGAGCCGGUCUCGAAAACCGGUGGGCCGUUGAGGCCCUUGUGGGUUCGAGUCCCACCGCCUCCG
RNAcentral lists this transfer RNA (87 nucleotides) under Pseudothermotoga thermarum DSM 5069. RNAcentral describes it as "Thermotoga thermarum DSM 5069 tRNA". It matches the Rfam family "tRNA". From Rfam's summary of the family: Transfer RNA (tRNA) molecules are approximately 80 nucleotides in length. Their secondary structure includes four short double-helical elements and three loops (D, anti-codon, and T loops). Further hydrogen bonds mediate the characteristic L-shaped molecular structure. tRNAs have two regions of fundamental functional importance: the anti-codon, which is responsible for specific mRNA codon recognition, and the 3' end, to which the tRNAs corresponding amino acid is attached (by aminoacyl-tRNA synthetases). tRNAs cope with the degeneracy of the genetic code in two manners: having more than one tRNA (with a specific anti-codon) for a particular amino acid; and 'wobble' base-pairing, i.e. permitting non-standard base-pairing at the 3rd anti-codon position. The record is from Rfam by way of RNAcentral. Lineage: Bacteria; Thermotogati; Thermotogota; Thermotogae; Thermotogales; Thermotogaceae.